Small nuclear RNA from Myotis lucifugus (little brown bat), 107 nucleotides. Lineage: Eukaryota; Metazoa; Chordata; Mammalia; Chiroptera; Vespertilionidae. The record is from Ensembl.
GUGCUCAUUUCAGCAGCACAUAUACUAAAAUUGGAACCAUACAGAGAAGAUUAGCAUGGCCCAUGCACAAGGAUGACACGCAAAUUCGUGAAGCCUUCCAUAUUUUU